UACGUAGGGGGCGAGCGUUGUCCGGAUUUAUUGGGCGUAAAAGGCUUGUAGGUGGCCACGUCAAGUCGGAUGUGAAAUCUCCCGGCUCAACCGGGAGGGGUCAUCGGAUACUGGCAGACUUGAGACGGGUAGAGGAAAGCAGAAUUCCCGGUGUAGCGGUGAAAUGCGUAGAUAUCGGGAGGAAUACCAGUGGCGAAGGCGGCUUUCUGGGCCUGUUCUGACGCUGAGGAGCGAAAGCGUGGGGAGCAAACCGG
This 254-nucleotide ribosomal RNA is filed under the name uncultured bacterium. RNAcentral's name for it is "partial 16S ribosomal RNA". It matches the Rfam family "Bacterial small subunit ribosomal RNA", at positions 524 to 776 of the family's 1533-position model. The record is from RNAcentral.